RNAcentral lists this ribosomal RNA (1447 nucleotides) under uncultured organism. RNAcentral describes it as "16S ribosomal RNA". It matches the Rfam family "Bacterial small subunit ribosomal RNA". The record is from RNAcentral.
UGAACGCUAGCUACAGGCUUAACACAUGCAAGUCGAGGGGCAGCAUGGUCUUAGCUUGCUAAGGCCGAUGGCGACCGGCGCACGGGUGAGUAACACGUAUCCAACCUGCCGUCUACUCUUGGACAGCCUUCUGAAAGGAAGAUUAAUACAAGAUGGCAUCAUGAGUCCGCAUGUUCACAUGAUUAAAGGUAUUCCGGUAGACGAUGGGGAUGCGUUCCAUUAGAUAGUAGGCGGGGUAACGGCCCACCUAGUCUUCGAUGGAUAGGGGUUCUGAGAGGAAGGUCCCCCACAUUGGAACUGAGACACGGUCCAAACUCCUACGGGAGGCAGCAGUGAGGAAUAUUGGUCAAUGGGCGAGAGCCUGAACCAGCCAAGUAGCGUGAAGGAUGACUGCCCUAUGGGUUGUAGACUUCUUUUAUAAAGGAAUAAAGUCGGGUAUGGAUACCCGUUUGCAUGUACUUUAUGAAUAAGGAUCGGCUAACUCCGUGCCAGCAGCCGCGGUAAUACGGAGGAUCCGAGCGCUAUCCGGAUUUAUUGGGUUUAAAGGGAGCGUAGAUGGAUGUUUAAGUCAGUUGUGAAAGUUUGCGGCUCAACCGUAAAAUUGCAGUUGAUACUGGAUAUCUUGAGUGCAGUUGAGGCAGGCGGAAUUCGUGGUGUAGCGGUGAAAUGCUUAGAUAUCACGAAGAACUCCGAUUGCGAAGGCAGCCUGCUAAGCUGCAACUGACAUUGAGGCUCGAAAGUGUGGGUAUCAAACAGGAUUAGAUACCCUGGUAGUCCACACGGUAAACGAUGAAUACUCGCUGUUUGCGAUAUACUGCAAGCGGCCAAGCGAAAGCGUUAAGUAUUCCACCUGGGGAGUACGCCGGCAACGGUGAAACUCAAAGGAAUUGACGGGGGCCCGCACAAGCGGAGGAACAUGUGGUUUAAUUCGAUGAUACGCGAGGAACCUUACCCGGGCUUAAAUUGCAGAUGAAUUACGGUGAAAGCCGUAAGCCGCAAGGCAUCUGUGAAGGUGCUGCAUGGUUGUCGUCAGCUCGUGCCGUGAGGUGUCGGCUUAAGUGCCAUAACGAGCGCAACCCUUGUUGUCAGUUACUAACAGGUUCCGCUGAGGACUCUGACAAGACUGCCAUCGUAAGAUGUGAGGAAGGUGGGGAUGACGUCAAAUCAGCACGGCCCUUACGUCCGGGGCUACACACGUGUUACAAUGGGGGGUACAGGGGGCCGCUACCACGCGAGUGGAUGCCAAUCCCCAAAACCUCUCUCAGUUCGGACUGGAGUCUGCAACCCGACUCCACGAAGCUGGAUUCGCUAGUAAUCGCGCAUCAGCCACGGCGCGGUGAAUACGUUCCCGGGCCUUGUACACACCGCCCGUCAAGCCAUGGGAGCCGGGGGUACCUGAAGUGCGUAACCGCGAGGAGCGCCCUAGGGUAAAACUGGUGACUGGGGC